GGGCCGGGCGCGCACCAGUGGCGGCGGCAGCGGCAGCGGCAGCGGCGGCAGCAGCAGCAUCUUUCUCCCAGAGCCGGUGCAGGUUUCCCACACUUGGAACGCAGACCAAGCGCCGCCCAGCAGGCAGAGCUGAACUUCAUCACCCAGUCCCCAGAGCCGGCAAGACAUGGGCCCCAUUUACCAAGCCCUGACGCCUUUCAUUUAACCAGAAGACGUGGAGGGG
Molecule: long non-coding RNA, 223 nt
Filed under: Sus scrofa (pig)
Lineage: Eukaryota; Metazoa; Chordata; Mammalia; Artiodactyla; Suidae
Description: lncRNA (ENSSSCG00025076181.1)
Source: RNAcentral